Triticum dicoccoides is the source of this 656-nucleotide long non-coding RNA. RefSeq lists it as uncharacterized. The record is from RefSeq and is a predicted model, not a curated record. The transcript is spliced from 2 exons. Lineage: Eukaryota; Viridiplantae; Streptophyta; Magnoliopsida; Poales; Poaceae.
UCUCUCUUCUCCCGUCGUCUCUCCUCCUUGCAGACCGACCGAUCGAUGGCGGGGAACCCCGACAGGAGGAGGGUGGAAUGGUCACUAUGAUGUUGGCUCGACUCACUCAGACCACGCCUGCCGGCCGGCCGUAGCCAUGCAUCUGCAUGCGGUGGUGGCUCUGAUUGAGCCGUGCCAAUAUCUCAGUGCUCUUUCAUGCAUGCAUGCAUGUGCUCGCUCCUUGUGCGCCGUGGUGCCUAGCUAGCUGGCUCCUCCGCCAUGGUGCCAAUAUCUCAGUGCGCGCUUCCUCACCUGCAUGCGUUGCAAGUAUGAACCAUACGGCGCCUACGUAUCGGUCCGUUCACUGCAUGCAUCGUGCAACAUCCAUGCAAUGCGGAGGGGUUUUAUCAUCGGAUCUUGUGGCUCCUCCAGGGUUAACUCCCAGGAAGGGUUGGAGUAGGGCGGAGAGAAAUGCACAACGUGUAUCAAAGCUUCACCGCUUCUGCAGGCAUAAUCUGCCCACUGGAGGGCAAGGAAGUGGAGUAUCCUGAACUGAAGAUGAAGUUCAGCCUCGAGGCCCUUCAGAUGGUUGCAGUUUGAACGCAGCGAGGCACGCACUGUAACACCGAUGUAUCAAGACAAUGUUCCCAGGGGAAACAUUCAUGUAGUGUGUGUGA